This 861-nucleotide long non-coding RNA is filed under the name Nicotiana benthamiana. RNAcentral's name for it is "long non-coding RNA (NBEN_LNC003231)". The record is from RNAcentral. Lineage: Eukaryota; Viridiplantae; Streptophyta; Magnoliopsida; Solanales; Solanaceae.
AGAGAUGACAGAAAAAGCAAAAAACGCAGAAAAAUAAGAGGGGGGCGUCAGAAAGAGAACGAAAAAGGGAGGGGAGAGAGAAUAACGAGCUGCUGCUUCGUCGUCUUCUCCCUCACGUCCAAACGACCUCCUCCUUACGUAAAAACGACCCCUUCUGCUUCUGCUUUCGUCAACCACGAACAGCCACAGCAACAGCCUUCACCCCUGUUUCCCGUCGUCAAUACCACCCCAAAAGACGACCAGGACUGCCUGAAACCGGCGACCACCAGCAAUCCGCCACUCCAGCCACAGUCGUCUUCUCCACCAUCGCCAGUCGACCAUCCAACUCCCACGCCCAGCUCCUUCACGUAACAGCCACCCAACGAACCAGCGUCCAUCGUCCCCAGCUUAGUCAUCGACCAACCAAAACUCCAUAGCUGCUGCGUCGUCAAUCACCAGCCAUCGACACCCCCUCAAACGACCACCAUCUCCACCUUCCUCCUUCAACCAUAAUACACCCAAAAAUCCAUUAACGACCCCCACGUCGUCUUCUCCUUCGAAGGCUGUUUUCUUCGAGUCAGGAUAGUCGAGCCGAGCAACAAAACUCCGUCGAAAUCCGGUGGAGCUUCUCGUGGAGGUUCUGUUCGAGUUUUCUCCGGUGCGGUCGUAGUCAUUUGGUUGAGCUUAGUUGCUGACUUAUUUCAACUAUCGUGUACAUGGAUGGGUUUCAUCCGUAAAUUAAAAUCAAGCUUCGAUACUUGAGGUGCAAUUCCCUUCGUUCCUUAUUGUCUCAAUUACUUGGUUAAUUUCAUAUUUGUUUAAGUAUAUGAACACUGCCUCUAUGUUGCUGAUUUAAGCAUUUUGGACAAAUUUAUUAUUGGG